UGGGGAAUUUUGGACAAUGGGCGAAAGCCUGAUCCAGCAAUGCCGCGUGUGUGAAGAAGGCCUUCGGGUUGUAAAGCACUUUUGUCCGGAAAGAAAUCCUUGGCUCUAAUACAGUCGGGGGAUGACGGUACCGGAAGAAUAAGCACCGGCUAACUACGUGCCAGCAGCCGCGGUAAUACGUAGGGUGCAAGCGUUAAUCGGAAUUACUGGGCGUAAAGCGUGCGCAGGCGGUUUGCUAAGACCGAUGUGAAAUCCCCGGGCUCAACCUGGGAACUGCAUUGGUGACUGGCAGGCUAGAGUAUGGCAGAGGGGGUAGAAUUCCACGUGUAGCAGUGAAAUGCGUAGAGAUGUGGAGGAAUACCGAUGGCGAAGGCAGCCCCCUGGGCCAAUACUGACGCUCAUGCACGAAAGCGUGGGGAGCAAACAGGAUUAGAUACCCUGGUAGUCCACGCCCUAAACGAUGUCAACUAGUUGUUGGGGAUUCAUUUCCUUAGUAACGUAGCUAACGCGUGAAGUUGACCGCCUGGGGAGUACGGUCGCAAGGUUAAAACUUAAAUGAAUUGACGGGGUCAUAGCUG
RNAcentral lists this ribosomal RNA (578 nucleotides) under uncultured bacterium. Its description in RNAcentral is "partial 16S ribosomal RNA". It matches the Rfam family "Bacterial small subunit ribosomal RNA", at positions 355 to 932 of the family's 1533-position model. The record is from RNAcentral.